GAUGAACGCUGGCGGCGUGCCUAAUACAUGCAAGUCGAGCGAACAGACGAGGAGCUUGCUCCUCUGACGUUAGCGGCGGACGGGUGAGUAACACGUGGAUAACCUACCUAUAAGACUGGGAUAACUUCGGGAAACCGGAGCUAAUACCGGAGAAUAUAUUGAACCGCAUGGUUCAAUAGUGAAAGACGGUUUUGCUGUCACUUAUAGAUGGAUCCGCGCCGCAUUAGCUAGUUGGUAAGGUAACGGCUUACCAAGGCAACGAUGCGUAGCCGACCGGAGGGGGUGAUCGGCCACACUGGAACUUAGACACGGUCCAGACUCCUACGGGAGGCAGCAGUAGGGAAUCUUCCGCAAUGGGCGAAAGCCUGACGGAGCAACGCCGCGUGAGUGAUGAAGGUCUUCGGAUCGUAAAACUCUGUUAUUAGGGAAGAACAAAUGUGUAAGUAACUAUGCACGUCUUGACGGUACCUAAUCAGAAAGCCACGGCUAACUACGUG
This 497-nucleotide ribosomal RNA is filed under the name uncultured bacterium. Its description in RNAcentral is "partial 16S ribosomal RNA". It matches the Rfam family "Bacterial small subunit ribosomal RNA", at positions 28 to 507 of the family's 1533-position model. The record is from RNAcentral.